CAGCAGCCGCGGGAAUACGUAGGUGGCAAGCGUUGUCCGGAAUUAUCGGGCGUAAAGCGCGCGCAGGCGGAUAGGUCAGUCUGUCUUAAAAGUUCGGGGCUUAACCCCGUGAUGGGAUGGAAACUGCCAAUCUAGAGUAUCGGAGAGGAAAGUGGAAUUCCUAGUGUAGCGGUGAAAUGCGUAGAUAUUAGGAAGAACACCAGUGGCGAAGGCGACUUUCUGGACGAAAACUGACGCUGAGGCGCGAAAGCCAGGGGAGCGAACGGGAUUAGAUACCCCUGUAGUCCCUGUCUCUUAUACA
RNAcentral lists this ribosomal RNA (301 nucleotides) under uncultured bacterium. Its description in RNAcentral is "partial 16S ribosomal RNA". It matches the Rfam family "Bacterial small subunit ribosomal RNA", at positions 509 to 809 of the family's 1533-position model. The record is from RNAcentral.